Long non-coding RNA from Triticum aestivum (bread wheat), 1522 nucleotides. RefSeq lists it as uncharacterized. NCBI's taxonomy places the organism in Eukaryota, Viridiplantae, Streptophyta, Magnoliopsida, Poales, Poaceae. The transcript is spliced from 2 exons. The record is from RefSeq and is a predicted model, not a curated record.
AGAGGCCGUUCCCGCCGGCGGGAUCCAGUUCUAUGGAAGCAGCGGAUGCCCAGAUCUGACCGCAACCUCCUCGCUAGGGCGGUGCUUGACCCUGUCGAAGCACUAUGCGCUGCGGCCAACCCUUCCCACUCCCCGCCUCUGUCGGCCUCGUCGGGUACUCCACUACUCCUGCUACAGCAAGGUCGAUCAAGAGGUCAGUGAGGCCGUUAGAGGAGAGGCGUUGCUGUGUUGGUCUUCUUUCUCUCUCCUCUAGUACUCUCGCAUUCUUGCCUCUCCGAUUGAAUCUGGUUCCGAUGAUUUGAUCGGUUGCUGAUGAAUCUCUGUAAGUUUGGUCACUGCCUCAUACUUCAUGCGCCCAUGAGCUCGAGCUCCGUCCUGCCUCUGUCGAACAUGACCGCCUCCAUCCCCACUCGCGACAACCUAUUUUUGAUAGACUGAAAUUUGUUUGUAUUUCAGAAUGCAUCAGAAUAUUUCUUGUGCUAUGAGCUUGACAUCUAAACGGGUAUGGUAAGUUGUGGUAAGGCAAUUACUUGUCAAGUAAUCACUUGUGUCUGUUGUAAUGAGAGCAGAAGGAAACGACCAUGUUAUUUGAAAUUAAAAUGCUUUUGUUAAGGCCCUAUAAUAUUAGAACACUCAAUGUAUGUAUCUUUCUGAAAGUAUUGAGCAAAAUAUCAUUAGCUCAAUUUGCCGAGGGAACAGUUGAACAUUCAAUUAGUUUUGCUUUUUUUUGUUGUUGUUUAGAAAUUGUAAUAUCAUGUCUGAAGGUUAAAGUGCUUCUCAAUUAAUAUAGUGACCAUGUUUUUGUUUUCUUGCAAUUUUGUCUGCAUUUUUUAACAGCUUUGGGAAGGGUGCUCUCAGGUGAUGUUGUUCCUUAUGCUAGUAGUUCCAAUAUUCCAGCACACUGGUUGAUAUUACCUGUGUAUGCUUACUUUAGAAGUUCAGAUUUGUUGGUAUAACACCUUCUGCAUUCUCAUUUUGUUGUCAUUAUCAGCUCUAUGCAUCUUCUACCUCUACAUAUUUGCAGAAAGCUCCGACCUGUUUGAUACAGGAAGAGACUAUCAUCUCGUCUAGUCAAUCGGGCCUAGGAAGUUGUGGACAUCGUUGGCGUGUCCACCUCAUCAUUAUGCGUGCAUCCAUGUGCUGAUAGAGACAAUUGAAUCUCCUGGGGAAGUGCAGCAACAUCAAGGGUUGUGUCGUGAGUAAGCAGGUGGAGUGGCCAUGGAAACGCCGUGGAUGCUUAUUGUCACCGACGAGGACAACCACAACCACACACAGUCGCUCGAUUUGUUGGCACUCGCCGCAAAUUCGGACGCUUGACUGAAGCUGCCAAUGACAGAAGAAGAUAGUAGAACUUGAAUUUUUAUGCCAUUGAUGGAACAUAUCAUUUAGCUGCUCUUUCGUUAUUCAAUCAUACAAAAGAUCAGAAUGCAAGUAAAAUUUGUAACAUGAAGGCAAAGAUUUGAUCGACAUCUUUUUCACGAUGUAUCUUGAUACUUGAUUAGGGUUCAGUACAUUUACCUUC